CCAAUAGUACACAGAGGCUUCGGCCGAAGUGAUAGAGAACGUAAGCAGACUUCCAAGAAAACCUUCUAGCGUUAAUCAUUAUGGUACCCGUACCGCAAACCGACACAGGUAGUCAAGGAGAGAAUCCUGAGGUGCUCGAGUGAAUCAUGGCUAAGGAACUCGGCAAAUUAACCCUGUAACUUCGGGAAAAGGGGUGCCCUCAGCAAUGAGGGUCGCAGAGAAAUGGCCCAGGCGACUGUUUAACAAAAACACAUGGCUAUGCGAAAUCGAAAGAUGAAGUAUAUGGCCUGACACCUGCCCGGUGCUGGAAGGUUAAGGGGGGACGUUAGUCGCAAGACAAAGCGUUGAACUGAAGCCCCAGUAAACGGCGGCCGUAACUAUAACGGUCCUAAGGUAGCGAAAUUCCUUGUCGGGUAAGUUCCGACCUGCACGAAUGGUGUAACGAUCUGGGCGCUGUCUCAGCCAUGAGCUCGGUGAAAUUGUAGUCACGGUGAAGAUGCCGUGUACCCGCAACGGGACGGAAAGACCCCAUGCACCUUUACUAUAGCUUCACAUUGACAUUGGGUAAAUGAUGUGUAGGAUAGGUGGGAGACAUUGAUCCCGGGCCGCUAGGUUCGGGGGAGUCAGCGGUGAAAUACCACCCUUUAUUUUCUUGAUGUCUAACCUCUAACAAGGGACAGUGUGUGGUGGGUAGUUUGACUGGGGUGGUCGCCUCCGAAAGUGUACCGGAGGCUUUUCAAAGGUAUGCUCAGUACGCUUGGUAACCGUACGUGGAGUGCAAUAGCAUAAGCGUGCUUGACUGUGAGACCGACGGGUCGAGCAGGGACGAAGGUUGGAUAUAGUGAUCCGGUGGUUCUGUAUGGAAGGGCCAUCGCUCAAAGGAUAAAAGGUACGCUGGGAUAACAGGCUGAUCCCCCCAAGAGCUCACAUCGACGGGGAGGUUUGGCACCUCGAUGUCGGCUCGUCACAUCCUGGGGCUGGAGAAGGUCCCAAGGGUUGGGCUGUUCGCCCAUUAAAGUGGCACGCGAGCUGGGUUCAGAACGUCGUGAGACAGUUCGGUCCCUAUCUGUUGUGGGCGUAGGAAGUUUGAGAGGAUCUGACCUUAGUACGAGAGGACCGGGUUGGACUAACCGCUGGUGUACCAGUUGUGGCGUCAGCUGCACCGCUGGGUAGCUAUGUUGGGACGGGAUAAGCGCUGAAAGCAUCUAAGCGCGAAACCCACCUCAAGAUGAGAUUUCCAUUAAGGGACGUCAGAGAUUAUGACGUUGAUAGGCUGCAGGUGUAAAGUCAGUAAUGGCAAAGCUGAGCAGUACUAAUAACCC
This 1322-nucleotide ribosomal RNA is filed under the name metagenome. RNAcentral describes it as "bacterial LSU rRNA". It matches the Rfam family "Bacterial large subunit ribosomal RNA", at positions 1556 to 2910 of the family's 2925-position model. The record is from RNAcentral.